AGUGAACGCUGGCGGUAGGCCUAACACAUGCAAGUCGAACGGCAGCACAGUAAGAGCUUGCUCUUACGGGUGGCGAGUGGCGGACGGGUGAGGAAUACAUCGGAAUCUACUUUUUCGUGGGGGAUAACGUAGGGAAACUUACGCUAAUACCGCAUACGACCUACGGGUGAAAGCAGGGGAUCUUCGCACCUUGCGCGAAUGAAUGAGCCGAUGUCGGAUUAGCUAGUUGGCGGGGUAAAGGCCCACCAAGGCGACGAUCCGUAGCUGGUCUGAGAGGAUGGUCGGCCACACUAGAACUGAGACACGGUCCAGACUCCUACGGGAGGCAGCAGUGGGGAAUAUUAGACAAUGGGCGCAAGCCUGAUCCAGCCAUACCGCGUGGGUGGAGAAGGCCUUCGGGUUGUAAAGCCCUUUUGUUGGGAAAAAAAAGCAGCAGGUUAAUACCCCGCUGUUCUGACGGUACCCAAAGAAUAAGCACCGGCUAACUUCGUG
RNAcentral lists this ribosomal RNA (492 nucleotides) under uncultured bacterium. RNAcentral's name for it is "partial 16S ribosomal RNA". It matches the Rfam family "Bacterial small subunit ribosomal RNA", at positions 29 to 507 of the family's 1533-position model. The record is from RNAcentral.